This 494-nucleotide ribosomal RNA is filed under the name uncultured bacterium. Its description in RNAcentral is "bacterial SSU rRNA". It matches the Rfam family "Bacterial small subunit ribosomal RNA", at positions 28 to 520 of the family's 1533-position model. The record is from RNAcentral.
GAUGAACGCUAGCGGCAGGCUUAACACAUGCAAGUCGAGGGGCAGCACGUCUUCGGAUGGUGGCGACCGGCGCACGGGUGCGUGACGCGUAUACAAUCUACCUUUUACAGGGGCAUAGCCCGGGGAAACCCGGAUUAAUAUCCCAUGGUAUCAUUUAGUGGCAUCACUUGAAUGAUUAAAGUUUCGGCGGUAAAAGAUGAGUAUGCGUUCUAUUAGCUAGAUGGUAAGGUAACGGCUUACCAUGGCUACGAUAGAUAGGGGUCCUGAGAGGGAGAUCCCCCACACUGGUACUGAGACACGGACCAGACUCCUACGGGAGGCAGCAGUGAGGAAUAUUGGACAAUGGGCGAGAGCCUGAUCCAGCCAUGCCGCGUGCAGGAAGACUGCCCUAUGGGUUGUAAACUGCUUUUAUACGGGAAGAAACACCUCCACGUGUGGAGGCUUGACGGUACCGUAUGAAUAAGGAUCGGCUAACUCCGUGCCAGCAGCCGUAC